GAUGAACGCUAGCGGCAGGCCUAACACAUGCAAGUCGAGGGGUAGAGUUCUUCGGGACUUGAGACCGGCGCACGGGUGCGUAACGCGUAUGCAAUCUACCUUAUACAGGGGAAUAGCCCAGAGAAAUUUGGAUUAAUGCCCCAUAGUAUUAUUGGAUGGCAUCAUUUGAUAAUUAAAGUUCCAACGGUAUAAGAUGAGCAUGCGUCCCAUUAGUUAGUUGGUAGGGUAACGGCUUACCAAGACAAUGAUGGGUAGGGGUCCUGAGAGGGAGAUCCCCCACACUGGUACUGAGACACGGACCAGACUCCUACGGGAGGCAGCAGUGAGGAAUAUUGGUCAAUGGGCGCAAGCCUGAACCAGCCAUGCCGCGUGCAGGAAGAAGCAUCUAUGGUGUGUAAACUGCUUUUAUACAGGAAGAAACACCUCUACGUGUAGAGACUUGACGGUACUGUAAGAAUAAGGAUCGGCUAACUCCGUGCCAGCAGCCG
Molecule: ribosomal RNA, 488 nt
Filed under: uncultured bacterium
Lineage: Bacteria
Description: bacterial SSU rRNA
Rfam family: Bacterial small subunit ribosomal RNA
Source: RNAcentral